Molecule: ribosomal RNA, 853 nt
Filed under: Sarcocystis sp.
Lineage: Eukaryota; Apicomplexa; Conoidasida; Eucoccidiorida; Sarcocystidae
Description: SSU rRNA
Rfam family: Eukaryotic small subunit ribosomal RNA
Source: RNAcentral
ACUGUAUAAUUACAUAAUUAUGAUGGUAUAGAAGUGUUUAUUUGAUACAGAACCAACAGUGCGCCUUCACUGCUUUCGUGAUGGUGUAAGAAGAAAGGGUGAUCCAUAGUAACCGAACGGAUCGCAUAAUAUAGUCAUUUCGGUGAUUGGCGAUAGAUCAUUCAACUUUCUGACCUAUCAGCUUUCGACGGUAGUGUACUGGACUACCGUGGCAGCGACGGGUAACGGGGAACUAGGGUUCGAUUCAGGAGAGGGAGCCUGAGAAACGGCUACCACAUCUAAGGAAGGCAGCAGGCGCGCAAGUUACUCAAUCCUGACUCAGGGAGGUAGUGACAAGAAAUAACAACACUGGAAAUUGUAUUUCUAGCGAUUGGAAUGAUGGGAAUCCAAACCCCUUUCAUAGUAACAAUUGGAGGGCAAGUCUGGUGCCCGCAGCCGCGGUAAUCUCAGCUCCAAUAGCGUAUAUUAAAGUUGCUGCAGUUCAAAAGCUCGUAGUUGAAUAUCUGCUGGAAGCAAUGAGUCCGCCCUUUUCAUAAGGGUGUGCACUUGAUGAAUUCUGGCAUGAUUUCAUCCUAAUGAUGUGAUAAUAUCAUAUGAAGUUAAUUCCUAGUAUGGGUAUUACCCUUGUUGGGAUGACAGCUACUUUGAGAAAAUUAGAGUGUUUGAAGCAGGCUUUCGUUGCCUUGAAUACUGCAGCAUGGAAUAACAAUAUAGGAUUUCGGUUCUGUUAGUUUGUUGGUUUUCUGUAGGACUGAAAUAAUGAUUAAUAGGGACAGCUGGGGGCACUCGUCUUUAACUGUCAGAGGUGAAAUUCUUAGAUUUGUUAAAGACGAACUACUGCGAGGCAUUUGCC